UACGUAGGUGGCAAGCGUUGUCCGGAUUUACUGGGCGUAAAGAGCGCGCAGGCGGUCGUUCAAGUCGCGUGUGAAAGCCCCCGGCUCAACUGGGGAGGGUCACGCGAUACUGAUCGACUCGAAGGCAGGAGAGGGUAGUGGAAUUCCCGGUGUAGUGGUGAAAUGCGUAGAUAUUGGGAAGAACACCAGUGGCGAAAGCGGACUUCUGGGUUGUUACUGACGCUGAGGUACGAAAGCGUGGGGAGCAAACGGG
RNAcentral lists this ribosomal RNA (253 nucleotides) under uncultured bacterium. RNAcentral describes it as "partial 16S ribosomal RNA". It matches the Rfam family "Bacterial small subunit ribosomal RNA", at positions 524 to 776 of the family's 1533-position model. The record is from RNAcentral.